RNAcentral lists this transfer RNA (84 nucleotides) under Planctomycetota bacterium. Its description in RNAcentral is "Planctomycetes bacterium tRNA-Leu". It matches the Rfam family "tRNA". From Rfam's summary of the family: Transfer RNA (tRNA) molecules are approximately 80 nucleotides in length. Their secondary structure includes four short double-helical elements and three loops (D, anti-codon, and T loops). The record is from RNAcentral. Lineage: Bacteria; Pseudomonadati; Planctomycetota.
GCCGGAGUGGCGGAAUUGGCAGACGCGACGGAUUCAAAAUCCGUUGCCCGCAAGGGCGUGUGGGUUCGAGUCCCACCUCCGGCA